UGUUUGCUUUGAACAUUAUAGGAUGGGAUGAAACACCCCUAGUGUAUGUAUUUGAUUUAAAAUGACAUAUACUUAUACAUAUUACUUAGCUACUCAAUGCAUUUGUUUAACAUAGUAGCCUUCUCAAGAUGACUAUGUAUACAACACCAAAUCAACACAAGUAGAAUAAUUUAAACUUAUUUUAUACAUCAUUUUAAAAAUUAAAUAUAUGUCUUAAACACUAAAACAAGGAAAUAUGCAAUUUUUUUAUGAAUAAUUAUAAUGACCUAAAUUAUAAUGUAUCGAUAUUGAGUUUUUUAAAAUCUGAAAUUCUAAAAUAUGACGCAUUGAUAUCAUAAUAUGUUGUUUAAAAAAAUAUACAAUGAAAAAAAGAAAUAAAGAAAAUGACAGUUUUUAUGGACAAAUAUGUGUUAAAUUUAUGGAAAAAAAAACAAAUUGUGAAAAUAACUUAGAGCUAAUUUUGCUAGAAACAUAUAACCUAUUAGAUGGAUACAUGGGAAAAGAGCUAUUUUGCUUUGAACAUUAUAGGAUGGGAUGAAACACUCCUAAUGUAUGUAUUUGAUUUAAAAUGACAUAUACUUAUACAUAUUACUUAGCUACUCAAUGCAUUUGUUUAACAUAGUAGCCUUCUCAAGGUGACUAUGUAUACUACACCAAAUAACACACAAGUAGAAUAAUUUAUACUUAUUUUAUACAUCAUUUUCAAAAUUAAAUAUAUGUGUUAAACACUAAAACAAGAAACUAUGCAAUUUUUUAUGAAUAAUUAUAUUGACCUAAAUUAUAAUGUAUCGAUAUUUGAGUUUUUUAAAAUCUGAAAUUCUAAAAUAUAACGCAUUAAUAUCAUAAUAUGUUGUUUAAAAAAAACUUACAAUGAAAAAAAGAAAUAAAGAAAAUGACAGUUUUUAUGGACAAAUAUGUGUUAAAUUUAUGGAAAAAAAAACAAAUUGUGAAAAUAACUUAGAGCUAAUUUUGCUAGAAACAUAUAACCUAUUAGAUGGAUACAUGGGAAAAGAGCUAUUUUGCUUUGAACAUUAUAGGAUGGGAUGAAACACUCCUAAUGUAUGUAUUUGAUUUAAAAUGACAUAUACUUAUACAUAUUACUUAGCUACUCAAUGCAUUUGUUUAACAUAGUAGCCUUCUCAAGGUGACUAUGUAUACUACACCAAAUAACACACAAGUAGAAUAAUUUAUACUUAUUUUAUACAUCAUUUUCAAAAUUAAAUAUAUGUGUUAAACACUAAAACAAGAAACUAUGCAAUUUUUUAUGAAUAAUUAUAUUGACCUAAAUUAUAAUGUAUCGAUAUUUGAGUUUUUUAAAAUCUGAAAUUCUAAAAUAUAACGCAUUAAUAUCAUAAUAUGUUGUUUAAAAAAAACUUACAAUGAAAAAAAGAAAUAAAGAAAAUGACAGUUUUUAUGGACAAAUAUGUGUUAAAUUUAUGGAAAAAAAAACAAAUUGUGAAAAUAACUUAGAGCUAAUUUUGCUAGAAACAUAUAACCUAUUAGAUGGAUACAUGGGAAAAGAGCUAUUUUGCUUUGAACAUUAUAGGAUGGGAUGAAACACUCGUAAUGUAUGUAUUUGAUUUAAAAUGACAUAUACUUAUACAUAUUACUUAGCUACUCAAUGCAUUUGUUUAACAUAGUAGCCUUCUCAAGGUGACUAUGUAUACUACACCAAAUAACACACAAGUAGAAUAAUUUAUACUUAUUUUAUACAUCAUUUUCAAAAUUAAAUAUAUGUGUUAAACACUAAAACAAGAAACUAUGCAAUUUUUUAUGAAUAAUUAUAUUGACCUAAAUUAUAAUGUAUCGAUAUUUGAGUUUUUUAAAAUCUGAAAUUCUAAAAUAUAACGCAUUAAUAUCAUAAUAUGUUGUUUAAAAAAAACUUACAAUGAAAAAAAGAAAUAAAGAAAAUGACAGUUUUUAUGGACAAAUAUGUGUUAAAUUUAUGGAAAAAAAAACAAAUUGUGAAAAUAACUUAGAGCUAAUUUUGCUAGAAACAUAUAACCUAUUAGAUGGAUACAUGGGAAAAGAGCUAUUUUGCUUUGAACAUUAUAGGAUGGGAUGAAACACUCGUAAUGUAUGUAUUUGAUUUAAAAUGACAUAUACUUAUACAUAUUACUUAGCUACUCAAUGCAUUUGUUUAACAUAGUAGCCUUCUCAAGGUGACUAUGUAUACUACACCAAAUAACACACAAGUAGAAUAAUUUAUACUUAUUUUAUACAUCAUUUUCAAAAUUAAAUAUAUGUGUUAAACACUAAAACAAGAAACUAUGCAAUUUUUUAUGAAUAAUUAUAUUGACCUAAAUUAUAAUGUAUCGAUAUUUGAGUUUUUUAAAAUCUGAAAUUCUAAAAUAUAACGCAUUAAUAUCAUAAUAUGUUGUUUAAAAAAAACUUACAAUGAAAAAUAGAAAUAAAGAAAAUGACAGUUUUUAUGGACAAAUAUAUGUUAAAUUUAUGGAAAAAAAACAAAUUUUGAAAAUAACGUAGAGCUACUUUUGCUAGAAACGUAUAACCUAUUAGGUGGAUACAUGGGAAAAGAGCUAUGUUCGCUUUGAACAUUAUAGGAUGGGUUGAAACACUCCAAAUGGAUGUAUUUAAUUUAAAAUGACAUAUACUUAUACAUAUUAGUUAGCUACUUAAUGCAUUUGUUUAACAUAGUAGCCUUCUCAAGAUGACUAUGUAUACAACACCAAAUCAACACAAGUAGAAUAAUUUAUACUUCUUUUAUACAUCAUUUAAAAAAUUAAAUAUAUGUCUUAAACACUAAAACUUGGAAAUAUGCAAUUUUUUUAUGAAUAAUUUUAAUGACCUAAAUUAUAAUGUAUCGAUAUUGAGUUUUUUAAAAUCUGAAAUUCUAAAAUAUGACGCAUUGAUAUCAUAAUAUGUUGUUUAAAAAAAUAUACAAUGAAAAAAAGAAAUAAAGAAAAUGACAGUUUUUAUGGACAAAUAUGUGUUAAAUUUAUGGAAAAAAAAACAAAUUGUGAAAAUAACUUAGAGCUAAUUUUGCUAGAAACAUAUAACCUAUUAGAUGGAUACAUGGGAAAAGAGCUAUUUUGCUUUGAACAUUAUAGGAUGGGAUGAAACACUCCUAAUGUAUGUAUUUGAUUUAAAAUGACAUAUACUUAUACAUAUUACUUAGCUACUCAAUGCAUUUGUUUAACAUAGUAGCCUUCUCAAGGUGACUAUGUAUACUACACCAAAUAACACACAAGUAGAAUAAUUUAUACUUAUUUUAUACAUCAUUUUCAAAAUUAAAUAUAUGUGUUAAACACUAAAACAAGAAACUAUGCAAUUUUUUAUGAAUAAUUAUAUUGACCUAAAUUAUAAUGUAUCGAUAUUUGAGUUUUUUAAAAUCUGAAAUUCUAAAAUAUAACGCAUUAAUAUCAUAAUAUGUUGUUUAAAAAAAACUUACAAUGAAAAAAAGAAAUAAAGAAAAUGACAGUUUUUAUGGACAAAUAUGUGUUAAAUUUAUGGAAAAAAAAACAAAUUGUGAAAAUAACUUAGAGCUAAUUUUGCUAGAAACAUAUAACCUAUUAGAUGGAUACAUGGGAAAAGAGCUAUUUUGCUUUGAACAUUAUAGGAUGGGAUGAAACACUCCUAAUGUAUGUAUUUGAUUUAAAAUGACAUAUACUUAUACAUAUUACUUAGCUACUCAAUGCAUUUGUUUAACAUAGUAGCCUUCUCAAGGUGACUAUGUAUACUACACCAAAUAACACACAAGUAGAAUAAUUUAUACUUAUUUUAUACAUCAUUUUCAAAAUUAAAUAUAUGUGUUAAACACUAAAACAAGAAACUAUGCAAUUUUUUAUGAAUAAUUAUAUUGACCUAAAUUAUAAUGUAUCGAAAUUGAGUUUUUUAAAAUCUGAAAUUCUAAAAUAUGAGGCAUUGAUAUCAUAAUAUGUUGUUUAAAAAAAUAUACAAUGAAAAAAAGAAAUAAAGAAAAUGGCAGUUUUUAUGGACAAAUAUGUGUUAAAUUUAAGGGAAAAAAAAACAAAUUGUGAAAAUAACUUAGAGCUAAUUUUGCUAGAAACAUAUAACGUAUUAGACGGAUACAUGGGAAAAGAGCUAUUUUGCUUUGAACAUUAUAGGAUGGGAUGAAACACUCAUAAUGUAUGUAUUUGAUUUAAAAUGACAUAUACUUAUACAUAUUACUUAGCUACUCAAUGCAUUUGUUUAACGUAGUAGCCUUCUCAAGGUGACUAUGUAUACUACACCAAAUAACACACAAGUAGAAUAAUUUAUACUUAUUUUAUACAUCAUUUUCAAAAUUAAAUAUAUGUGCUAAACACUAAAACAAGAAACUAUGCAAUUUUUUAUGAAUAAUUAUAUUGACCUAAGUUAUAAUGUAUCGAUAUUUGAGUUUUUUAAAAUCUGAAAUUCUAAAAUAUAACGCAUUAAUAUCAUAAUAUGCUGUUUAAAAAAAACAUACAAUGAAAAAAAGAAAUAAAGAGAAUGACAAUUUUUAUGGACAAAUAUAUGUUAAAUUUAUGGGAAAAAAAAAACAAAUUGUGAAAAUAACGUAGAGCUACUUUUGCUAGAAACAUAUAACCUAUUAGGUGGAUACAUGGGAAAAGAGCUAUGUUCGCUUUGAACAUUAUAGGAUGGGAUGAAACACUCCAAAUGGAUGUAUUUGAUUUCAAAUGACAUAUACUUAUACAUAUUACUUAGCUACUUAAUGCAUUUGUUUAACAUAGUAGCCUUCUCAAGAUGACUACGUAUACAACACCAAAUCAACACAAGUAGAAUAAUUUAUACCUAUUAUAUACAUCAUUUUAAAAAUUAAAUAUAUGUUUUAAACACUAAAACAAGGAAAUAUGCAAUUUUUUUAUGAAUGAUUAUAAUGACCUAAAUUAUAAUGUAUCGAUAUUGAGUUUUUUAAAAUCUGAAAUUCUAAAAUAUGACGCAUUAUUAUCAUAAUAUGUUGUUUAAAAAAAUAUACAAUGAAAAAAAGAAAUAAAGAAAAUGACAGCUUUUAUGGACAAAUAUGUGUUAAAUUUAUGGAGAAAAAAAAUUGUGAAAAUAACUUAGAGCUAAUUUUGCUAGAAACAUAUAACCUAUUAGAUGGAUGCAUGGGAAAAGAGCUAUUUUGCUUUGGACAUUAUAGGAUGGGAUGAAACACUCCUAAUGUAUGUAUUUGAUUUAAAAUGACAUAUACUUGAACAUAUUACUUUGCUACUCAAUGCAUUUGUUUAACAUAGUAGCCUUCUCAAGGUGACUAUGUAUACUACACCAAAUAAACACAAGUAGAAUAAUUUAUACUGUAUUGUUGUACACUCCAUUUAGAAAACGUCUGAAUGUAUCGUGUCUAAACACUGAAAACAAGGAAACCUAUGGCAAUGUUUUUUAUGAACUACAAACUUUAUACUUAUUUUACUAGCAUCGAUCUUUAAAAUUAAAUAUAUGUUUAAACACUAAAACAAGGGAAAUAUGCAAUUUUUUACUGAAUAAUUAUGAUGACCUAAAUUACAAUGUAUCGCGAUAUUGAGUUUUUAAAAUCUGAAAUUCUAAAUAUGAUGCCUUGAAUAUCAUAAUAUGUUGUUUAAAAAAAUAUCACAAUGAAAAAACGAAUAAAGAAAAUGACAGUUUUUAUGGGGACAAAUACUGUGUUAAAUUUAUGGACAAAAACACCAAAUUGUGAAAAUAACUUAGAGCUAACUUUGCUAGAAACAUAAACUAUUAGAUGGAUACAUGGCAAAGAGCUAUGUUUGCUUGAACAUUAUAGGAUGGGAUGAAACACCCCUAAGUGUAUGUACUUUGAUUUAAAAUGACAUAUACUUAUACAUAUUACUUAGCUACUCAUGCAUUUGCUUUACAUAGGUAGCCUUCUCAGAUGAUACGUAUACACACACCAAAUCAACACAAGUAGAUGAAUUUAAACUUAUUUUAUACAUCAUUUUAAAAAUUAAAUAUAUGUCCUAACACAUUAAAACAAGGAAAUAUGCAAUUUUUUAUGAAUAAUUAUAAUGCACUAAAUUAUAUGUAUAGAUAUUGAGUUUUUUAAAAUCUGAAAUUCUAAAAUAGAGGCAUUUGAUAUCAAAAUAUGUUGUUUAAAAAUAUACAAUGAAAAGAAAUAAAGAAAAUGGCAGUCUUUAUGGGACAAUAUGUGUUAAAAUUAAGGAAAAAAAACAAAUUGUGAAAAUAACUAGAGCUAAUUUUGCUAGAAACAUAUACAGAUUAGAGGAUACAUGGGAAAGAGCUAUUUUGCUUGGAACAUUAUAGGAUGGGAUGAAACACAUAAUGUAUGUAUUUGAUUUAAAAUGACAUAUACUGUAUACAUAUUACUUAGCUACUCAUGCAUUUGUUUAAGAUCAGUAGCCUUCUCAAGGUGACUAUGUAUACUACACACAAUAACACACAAGUAGAAUAAUUUAUACUUAUUUAUACAUCAUUUUCAAAAUUAAAUAUAUGUGUAAACACUAAACAAGAAACUAUGGCAAUUUUUUAUGAAUAAUUAUAUUGACCUAUUAUAAUGUAUCGAUAUUGAGUUUUUAAAAUCUGAAAUUCUAAAAUAUAACGCAUUAAUAUCAAUAAUAGCUGUUUAAAAAAAUACAAUAAAAAAGAAAUAGAAGAGAAUGAGUUUUUAUGGACAAAUAUAUGUAAAUUUAUGGAAAAAAAAACCAAUUGUGAAAAUAACGUAGAGCUACUUUGCUAAAACAUAUAACCUAUUAGAUGGAUCAUGGAAAAGAGCUAAUGUGCUUGAACAUUAUAGGAUGGGAUGAAACCCAAUGAUGUAUUUGAUUAAAUGACAUAUACUUAUACAUAUUACUUAGCUACUAAUGCAUUUGUUUAACAUAGUAGCCCUUCUCAAGAUACGUACGUAUACAACACCAAAUCAACACAAGUAGAAUAAUUUAUAUUAUAUCAUCAUUUUAAAAUUAAUAAUAUGUUUUAAAACUAAAACAAGGAAAUAUGCAAUUUUUUAUGAAUGAUUAUAAUGACCUACUAAAUUAUAAUGUAUCGAUAUUGAGUUUUUAAAAUCUGAAAUUCUAAAAUAUGACGCAUAUAUCAUAAUAUGUUGUUUAAAAAAUUAACAUGAAAAAAAGAAUAAAGAAAUGACAGAGUUUUAUGGCAAAUAUGUGUUAAAUUAUGGGAAAAAACAAAUUGUGGAAAAUAACUAUAGAGCUAAUUUGCUAGAAACAUAUAACCUAUUAGAUGGAUACUGGGAAAAGAGCUAUUUUCUCUUUGGAACAUUAUAGGAUGGAUGAAACACUCCUAAUGUAUGUAUUUGAUUUAAAAUGCAUAUACUUAACAUAUUACUUUAGCUACUCAAUGCAUUGUUUAACAUAGUAGCCUUCUCAAGGUGACUAUGUAUACUACACCAAAUAAACACAAGUAGAAAAUUAUACUUAUUUAUACAUCAUUUUCAAAAUUAAAUAUAUGUGUUAAACACUAAAACACAGAAAACUAUGCAAUUUUUAUGAUAAUUUGUACUAAUAUUAUAUGUAUCGAUACUUUGAGUUUUCUGUAAAAAUCUGAAAUCUAAAUAUAACGCAUUAAUAUCAUAAUAUGUUGUUUAAAAAAACUUACAAUGAAAAAUAGAAUAAAGAAAAUGACAGUUUUUAUGGACAAAUAUAUGUUAAAUUUAUGGAAAAAAAACCAAAUUGUGAAAAUAACGUAGAGCUACUUUUGCUACAAACAUAUAACCUAUUAGGGUGGAUACAUGGAAAAGAGCUAUGUCCUUGAACAUUAUAGACAUAGGUGAAACACUCCAAAUGGAUGUAUUUGAUUAAAAUGACAUAUACUUAUACAUAUUACUCUACCUACUUAAUGCAUUUGUUUAACAUAGUAGCCUUCUCAGAUGACUAUGUAUACAACACCAAAUCAACACAGUAGAAUAAUUUAUACUUAUUUUAUACAUCAUUUUAAAACAUUAAAUAUAUGUUCUAACACAACUAAAACGAAAUAUGCAAUUUUUUAUGAAUAAUUUAUACUUAUUUUAUACAUCAUUUUAAAAAUUAAAUAUUGUCUUAAACAGUAAAACACGGAAUAUGGAAUUUUUUUAUGAAUAAUUUUAUACUUUUAUACAUCAUUUAAAAAUAAAUAUUGUCUUAAACACUAAACAAGGAAAUAUGCAAUUUUGUAUGAAUAAUUAAAAUACCAAUAAAUUAUAAUGUACAUAUUGAGUUUUUAAAAUCUGAAAUUCUAAAAUAUGACGAUUGAUAUCAUAAUAUGUUGUUUAAAAAUAUACAAUGAAAAAAAGAAUAAAGAAAAUCAGUCAUUUUUAUGACAAAUAUGUGUUAAAUUUAUGGAAAAAAACAAAUUGUGAAAAUAACUUAGAGCUAAUUUUGCUAGAAACAUAUAACCUAUUAGAUGGAUACAUGGGAAAGAGCUAUGUUUCUUUGAACAUUAUAGGAUGGGAUGAAACACCCUAAUGUAUGUAUUUGAUUUAAAAUGACAUUACUUAUACAUAUUACUUAGCUACUCAAUGCAUUUGUUUAACAUGUAGCCUCUUCUCAAGAUGACUAUGUAUACAACACCAAUCAACACAGCUAGAAUUAAUUAACUUAUUUUAUACAUCAUUUUAAAAAUUAAAUAUAUGUCUUAAACACAAAAACAAAGAACUAUGCAAUUUUUUAUGAAUAAUUAUAAGACCUAAAUUAUAAUGUAUAGAUAUUGAGUU
This 8620-nucleotide long non-coding RNA is filed under the name Lathyrus oleraceus (garden pea). RNAcentral's name for it is "Pisum sativum (pea) long non-coding RNA (PSAT_LNC040493)". The record is from RNAcentral. Lineage: Eukaryota; Viridiplantae; Streptophyta; Magnoliopsida; Fabales; Fabaceae.